GGUUAAGCGACUAAGCGUACACGGUGGAUGCCCUGGCAGUCAGAGGCGAUGAAGGACGUGCUAAUCUGCGAUAAGCGUCGGUAAGGUGAUAUGAACCGUUAUAACCGGCGAUUUCCGAAUGGGGAAACCCAGUGUGAUUCGUCACACUAUCAUUAACUGAAUCCAUAGGUUAAUGAGGCGAACCGGGGGAACUGAAACAUCUAAGUACCCCGAGGAAAAGAAAUCAACCGAGAUUCCCCCAGUAGCGGCGAGCGAACGGGGAGCAGCCCAGAGCCUGAAUCAGUGUGUGUGUUAGUGGAAGCGUCUGGAAAGGCGCGCGAUACAGGGUGACAGCCCCGUACACAAAAAUGCACAUACUGUGAGCUCGAUGAGUAGGGCGGGACACGUGGUAUCCUGUCUGAAUAUGGGGGGACCAUCCUCCAAGGCUAAAUACUCCUGACUGACCGAUAGUGAACCAGUACCGUGAGGGAAAGGCGAAAAGAACCCCGGCGAGGGGAGUGAAAAAGAACCUGAAACCGUGUACGUACAAGCAGUGGGAGCACGCUUAGGCGUGUGACUGCGUACCUUUUGUAUAAUGGGUCAGCGACUUAUAUUCUGUAGCAAGGUUAACCGAAUAGGGGAGCCGAAGGGAAACCGAGUCUUAACUGGGCGUUAAGUUGCAGGGUAUAGACCCGAAACCCGGUGAUCUAGCCAUGGGCAGGUUGAAGGUUGGGUAACACUAACUGGAGGACCGAACCGACUAAUGUUGAAAAAUUAGCGGAUGACUUGUGGCUGGGGGUGAAAGGCCAAUCAAACCGGGAGAUAGCUGGUUCUCCCCGAAAGCUAUUUAGGUAGCGCCUCGUGAAUUCAUCUCCGGGGGUAGAGCACUGUUUCGGCAAGGGGGUCAUCCCGACUUACCAACCCGAUGCAAACUGCGAAUACCGGAGAAUGUUAUCACGGGAGACACACGGCGGGUGCUAACGUCCGUCGUGAAGAGGGAAACAACCCAGACCGCCAGCUAAGGUCCCAAAGUCAUGGUUAAGUGGGAAACGAUGUGGGAAGGCCCAGACAGCCAGGAUGUUGGCUUAGAAGCAGCCAUCAUUUAAAGAAAGCGUAAUAGCUCACUGGUCGAGUCGGCCUGCGCGGAAGAUGUAACGGGGCUAAACCAUGCACCGAAGCUGCGGCAGCGACGCUGAUGCGUUGUUGGGUAGGGGAGCGUUCUGUAAGCCUGUGAAGGUGUGCUGUGAGGCAUGCUGGAGGUAUCAGAAGUGCGAAUGCUGACAUAAGUAACGAUAAAGCGGGUGAAAAGCCCGCUCGCCGGAAGACCAAGGGUUCCUGUCCAACGUUAAUCGGGGCAGGGUGAGUCGACCCCUAAGGCGAGGCCGAAAGGCGUAGUCGAUGGGAAACAGGUUAAUAUUCCUGUACUUGGUGUUACUGCGAAGGGGGGACGGAGAAGGCUAUGUUGGCCGGGCGACGGUUGUCCCGGUUUAAGCGUGUAGGCUGGUUUUCCAGGCAAAUCCGGAAAAUCAAGGCUGAGGCGUGAUGACGAGGCACUACGGUGCUGAAGCAACAAAUGCCCUGCUUCCAGGAAAAGCCUCUAAGCAUCAGGUAACAUCAAAUCGUACCCCAAACCGACACAGGUGGUCAGGUAGAGAAUACCAAGGCGCUUGAGAGAACUCGGGUGAAGGAACUAGGCAAAAUGGUGCCGUAACUUCGGGAGAAGGCACGCUGAUAUGUAGGUGAAGCGACUUGCUCGUGGAGCUGAAAUCAGUCGAAGAUACCAGCUGGCUGCAACUGUUUAUUAAAAACACAGCACUGUGCAAACACGAAAGUGGACGUAUACGGUGUGACGCCUGCCCGGUGCCGGAAGGUUAAUUGAUGGGGUCAGCGCAAGCGAAGCUCUUGAUCGAAGCCCCGGUAAACGGCGGCCGUAACUAUAACGGUCCUAAGGUAGCGAAAUUCCUUGUCGGGUAAGUUCCGACCUGCACGAAUGGCGUAAUGAUGGCCAGGCUGUCUCCACCCGAGACUCAGUGAAAUUGAACUCGCUGUGAAGAUGCAGUGUACCCGCGGCAAGACGGAAAGACCCCGUGAACCUUUACUAUAGCUUGACACUGAACAUUGAGCCUUGAUGUGUAGGAUAGGUGGGAGGCUUUGAAGUGUGGACGCCAGUCUGCAUGGAGCCGGCCUUGAAAUACCACCCUUUAAUGUUUGAUGUUCUAACGUUGACCCGUGAUCCGGGUUGCGGACAGUGUCUGGUGGGUAGUUUGACUGGGGCGGUCUCCUCCUAAAGAGUAACGGAGGAGCACGAAGGUUGGCUAAUCCUG
Molecule: ribosomal RNA, 2303 nt
Filed under: Escherichia coli
Lineage: Bacteria; Pseudomonadati; Pseudomonadota; Gammaproteobacteria; Enterobacterales; Enterobacteriaceae
Description: partial 23S ribosomal RNA
Rfam family: Bacterial large subunit ribosomal RNA
Source: RNAcentral